Equus quagga is the source of this 367-nucleotide long non-coding RNA. RefSeq lists it as uncharacterized. The record is from RefSeq and is a predicted model, not a curated record. The transcript is spliced from 2 exons. NCBI's taxonomy places the organism in Eukaryota, Metazoa, Chordata, Mammalia, Perissodactyla, Equidae.
CUCCGCCCCAUCAGAAAUUUUCCUUCUGCUCAGUGAUUGCCCCAUUCACCUGGUUGGGAAACCAGAGGCGUAGCCGUUCUGGAAGUGAGCAGCUGCUCUGGCUGGCCUGAGGCCCCGGGCAGCUGGCCAAGCCCAGCUGCUAUAAAAGGGAGCCAGCACUCAGCCCUGCAUAUCCUCUGUCAACUCUGUUUCAGGGAGACCAGGCAGGGCAAAUCCUUGGGCACCAUGCUGACAGACCUGGAGAAAGCCAUGGACUCCCUCAUUGAUGUCUACCACAAGUACUCCCUGGUUAAAGGGAAUUACCACGCCGUCUAUAGGGACGACUUGAAGAAAUUGUUAGAGACAGAGUGUCCCCAGUACACGAAGG